This 383-nucleotide long non-coding RNA is filed under the name Cricetulus griseus (Chinese hamster). RNAcentral's name for it is "lncRNA (ENSCGRG00015035905.1)". Lineage: Eukaryota; Metazoa; Chordata; Mammalia; Rodentia; Cricetidae. The record is from RNAcentral.
UUUACACUCUGCAUGGCCAGAGCGUUGUGUACAUAGGGCUUUGACUCUGUAGUGGAUCAGCUACUGUGACUGCUCAGGUAACUCAACAGAUGUCACAUGCAGUUUAGAACCUUGGAGGACUGAGAGCAGUGAGGUGAAAGGGGCAGGAAAUUCUCCCGUCUUGAUGAUCUGUUCCAUAUGUCAAGGUGUCAUUUGGGGGAGCCAUGAAGUCUUUGAGUCCUGAAGAGAGGAAGCAAAACUUUUAGGAUCUUAUGCUGCCUUCCGGACCCCUCUCCACUUGCUGACUACUGGAGCCCUGUGGAAACCCACUGGAAACCAACAGAUCAGAGUGGGGAUAUGAAGGGGGAAUUUGGACAUGGGUCACUGGCCAGGGACCUAUGUAG